This is a long non-coding RNA of Mesocricetus auratus (golden hamster), 3355 nucleotides long. RefSeq lists it as uncharacterized. The transcript has 2 exons. Lineage: Eukaryota; Metazoa; Chordata; Mammalia; Rodentia; Cricetidae. The record is from RefSeq and is a predicted model, not a curated record.
GGCUGGCCUUGAACUCACAGAGAUCUGCCUGCCUCUGCCUCCAAGUGCUGGGAUUAAAGGCGAGCGCCACCACUGCCCAGUCCUCCCUCCUUUCCCUUUCUGUCUGUCUUUCUACUUCAGAGUAUUGACACAGGUGUUCAGAGGAUGCAGCCCAUGAAACUCCUCAGCCUGCUUUCUACCUCCCGCAGCCCCCGCCAGCCAGCGUCUGUCGAGCACACAUCUCCCCAGGGGCUGGAGUCCUGGAUAGCUACAGAUGUCUCAGCUGCGGACUUUCUAAAGGGUCACAGCUGGGUUCUCAGAGAACCUCCAGUCUGUUUUUCUGAAAAUGCACUCCAUCCUGGGGAUGUGAUCUGACCUAAGGGCACUGAUGUCUCCAACCUCUGGGAAUCCCUCCUGCUCCAGGAUUGCACCCCACCUGAGUAGCCCCAGAAGUCACAGCUUGGAGGCCCAGGGGUGUCACAGGUGAGGAGACUCACUAGGAAACCUCCCCCAGGUACUCAGCCCUCACCACGGGCCUUUCUCUGUCAUCUGUAAGACAAGCCUACUGUGUAUUUUUAUAUGGGAAACCAAGUCCCACGUGGGGGAGGUGCUGUGUAGGUGUCGUGUACUUCUGUGGGUUGCCCUGGGUCCUCAGCUACUGUGUGGGGCAUACAGACAGACUAUGGGUUCCAUGAAAGCAGACACAGCAAACUGCUCUGUUGCCCCAGUGUUCGCCGCUGGGUGGGUGUGAGAGCACAUCCCUACACGGUUACAGGAGGACCUGCAGGGAAGGGUAAAUGGAGGCAGAGGGCUGAGCUCCUCCCUCCCCUGGCUCCCAUGGGGAGCAUACAGCCUGUGUCAGGCUGGCAGUAAAUAUCUUACAUGCAGUUUCUUCCCAUGUACAGAGUCAUGCUAACCCUGUGGGGACAUGCACAUACACACAGACUUAUGGAUAAAAGUUGUUUUCACGACUAAGGAAAAGUCCUUGGGACAUUACUGUAGAAGGGAGAGAGGAAGCGGGAGAGAGGACUGGAAUGUGCCCAGCUCCGAGGCAGGCAAGUCAGGGUCACACUCACUCACUCAUGCAACCUGCACAAGAGGCGGAGGGUCUCCUCUUUGUUGGGUUUGUCUCUAGAUCUCACAGGAAAGGAGAGUAGGGGACACAGCUGAGAGCAGGACACUGACUCCUCAGUCACAGCCACCGGACUCUGGGAUACUCACAUCUUAGCAGGGAGGGAGGCAGAGACGAUGCAUGCAAACACAUCCACACAGUGUCAUGUCCAGCGCCACAGAGGCUAUUCAACUAGGGCAGUGAGGGGAGGCUGCCCAGGGCAGGUGGUCAUGAUGAACGGAGGCAUAGCCAGUCUUCCGAGUCUCAGAAUGUCUUACCUGCUCUUCCUCCUCCCGCAGGCUGGGCAGGGUGCUGACCGACAGGUUGACGGCAGUGACGGUGACAAAUAGAACGGACAGGCAGGCAAACACUUUGCCAGGCAGCCCUGAAUGUGGCCUCUCCACCAUGUCCCGCAGCUUCCUCAUACAGCGGCCCAGGCGGCCCUCACUGGUGGACGGACUCUCAGCGUCCUGGUCUUCGCUAUCCAGCGGCUCCUCCUCGUCCUCCCUCUCCAUCAUCUCCGCAAACUCCUCAAUUUUCUGCAGGUAUCGGCGCUUGCAGCAGCCGUCCAGGUGGUCCUCAGCGAUGCCCCAGUACAGCAGCUCCUCCUGGAAGGACAGGGCGCACAUCUCCCGGAGCAGCCGCAGCUUGCCGGCUCGCAGGAAGGUGAGGAUGGUGCCGAAGGCUCCGGGGUUUCGGUCAAAGAAGAACUCGUUGCAGGUCACAUCAUAGUCAUCACACACACUCAGGAUGUCGUCGAAGUUGGUGCAGGCUUUGAGCUGGCCCAGCCGUGUCAGUGGGAACUCAUCCAGCGUGGUCCAAGGGAGUGAGUACUUGAUGCCACCCACAUUGAUGAUGAUCUGUCGCCUGCGGUCCCCAAGUGAGCUGCCCUGGAGCAGGUCGUCCUGCGGUCGCAACCGCUGGGCCCUGCGGUAGAAGACACCCUUGAUGGCCUGGGGCUGUGGGAAAAAGGCUGGGAGGAAGGCGGCCUCGGAGGCACAGCUCAGGGCGCUGUAGUCAUAGUCCGAGUUGUCUCCUGGUAACAGGGUCAUUUUGGGACUUCACAUCCCUCUUGGGCCUGGGGAGGAGAAGGUGGAGAGACCCUGGUGAACCCUAAGCCUUAGCUGAGUCCCUCACUGACUGUGGAUUCUAAAGACACUUCCUUGGUCUGGGUCCCAAAGGCCACAGGUUGAAACCCUUGAUUUUUCGAAAUAGAAUAUGUAUUUUUAUUUAAAAAUUCUACUGUGGGUUUUCAAUAUUUUUAUUUAUGUAUAUGUGCCUACUUGUCUGUACAUAUGGCAUGUGUGAAGGUGCCUAAGGAGGCCAGAAGAGGGUGUUAGGUUCCCUGGAAAUGGAGUUAUAGGUGGUUGUAAAUUGUCAUGUAGGUGUUGCUGAUUGAAUCUUGGUCCUCUGCAAGAGAAACCAGUGCUCUUAUGCACCGAGCUAUCAUUCUAGACCCCCACAUACAUGUUAUAUAUAAUAUACUUACAAAUUACAUACAACAUAUAAAAACUUACUGUUGUGGUGGGGUGUAUGUAGAUGCCAGAGGACAGCUUUGUGAACUUGUAGUAGUGGCCACAUGCAUGUACGUGAGUGCCUGGUAUAGGUAUAGGUGUGAGAUCCCCUAAAACUGGAGUUACAGAUGGUUAUGAGCUGCCGUGUGGAUACUGGGAAUUGAAUCCAGGCUUCAGGUACAGAUGUGACCCCUUUAAGGGAGAGGAAAAACAUGGGCUAUGAAUGUGACUCGGUGAAUAAGACUACUUGCUUUGCAAGCAUGAAGACCUGAGUUCAAAUCCCACCUGCCAUAUAAAAAGCCAGACAUAGAAUGUGCCUAUAGCUCUCUCUCUCUCUCUCUCUCUCUCUCUCUCUCUCUCUCUCUCUCUGUGCGUGUGUGUGGUGUAUGCAUGUAUGUACACACGCAUAGGUAUAUGUACCGUAAUGUGCAGGUGUGUUCAGAGUGUGGAGGUCAGAGGUUAACCUUGGGUGUCAUUUCUCAGGAGCUAUCCAUCUUUUCUUUUCUUUUUUUUUUUUGAGAUGGAACUUCACUGGGACGAUGUGGGACUUACUGUUUCUAAGCCAGGCUAGCUGACCGGUCCCGGUGUCUGCCUGUCUCCACCUUCCCAGUGCUGGAAUUACAGUCACAUGCCUCUGCAGUCUCUGCCUUUCUCAUGCUCUUUGCAACCCAAGAGAGAGCUACCUACCCAGCAGCUCCUUUCCCUUAAAGGGGUCACUUCUGCACCUGGGAUUAAAGGCGUGUACCACGAA